AGCCUUGACAUGCAGAGAACUUCCAGAGAUGGAUUGUGCCUUCGGGAACUCUGACACAGGUGCUGCAUGGCUGUCGUCAGCUCGUGUCGUGAGAUGGUUGGGUUAAGUCCCGUAACGAGCGCAACCCUUGUCCUUAGUUACCAGCACGUUAUGGUGGGCACUCUAAGGAGACUGCCGGUGACAAACCGGAGGAAGGUGGGGAUGACGUCAAGUCAUCAUGGCCCUUACGGCCUGGGCUACACACGUGCUACAAUGGUCGGUACAAAGGGUUGCCAAGCCGCGAGGUGGAGCUAAUACCCAUAAAACCGAUCGUAGUCCGGAUCGCAGUCUGCAACUCGACUGCGUGAAGUCGGAAUCGCUAGUAAUCGUGAAUCAGAAUGUCACGGUGAAUACGUUCCCGGGCCUU
RNAcentral lists this ribosomal RNA (406 nucleotides) under uncultured Pseudomonas sp. RNAcentral describes it as "bacterial SSU rRNA". It matches the Rfam family "Bacterial small subunit ribosomal RNA", at positions 977 to 1382 of the family's 1533-position model. The record is from RNAcentral. Lineage: Bacteria; Pseudomonadati; Pseudomonadota; Gammaproteobacteria; Pseudomonadales; Pseudomonadaceae.